This 1422-nucleotide ribosomal RNA is filed under the name Spiroplasma sp. GSU5382. RNAcentral describes it as "bacterial SSU rRNA". It matches the Rfam family "Bacterial small subunit ribosomal RNA". RNAcentral also lists the same sequence under 4 other names. Lineage: Bacteria; Bacillati; Mycoplasmatota; Mollicutes; Entomoplasmatales; Spiroplasmataceae. The record is from RNAcentral.
CGCUGGCGGCAUGCCUAAUACAUGCAAGUCGAACGGGGUGCUUGCACCCAGUGGCGAACGGGUGAGUAACACGUAUCUAAUCUACCUCUUAGUGGGGGAUAACAGUUGGAAACGACUGCUAAUACCGCAUACGACACCAUUAUGGCAUCAGAAGGUGUUAAAAGGUCCGUUUGGACCGCUAGGAGAUGAGGAUGCGGCGUAUUAGCUAGUAGGUGAGGUAAUGGCUCACCUAGGCGAUGAUACGUAGCCGAACUGAGAGGUUGAUCGGCCACAUUGGGACUGAGAUACGGCCCAGACUCCUACGGGAGGCAGCAGUAGGGAAUUUUUCACAAUGGGCGAAAGCCUGAUGAAGCAAUGCCGCGUGAGUGAUGAAGGUCUUCGGAUUGUAAAGCUCUGUUGUAAGGGAAGAAAUGCUAGAAGAGGAAAUGCUUUUAGUUUGACGGUACCUUACCAGAAAGCCACGGCUAACUAUGUGCCAGCAGCCGCGGUAAUACAUAGGUGGCAAGCGUUAUCCGGAUUUAUUGGGCGUAUAGGGUGCGUAGGUGGUUAGUUAAGUUUGAGGUUAAAUCCCAGGGCUCAACCCUGGUCCGCCUUGAAAACUGGCUAACUAGAAUACAGGAGAGGUAGAUGGAAUUCCAUGUGUAGCGGUGGAAUGCGUAGAUAUAUGGAGGAACACCAGUGGCGAAGGCGGUCUACUGGCCUGUGAUUGACACUGAGGCACGAAAGCGUGGGGAGCAAAUAGGAUUAGAUACCCUAGUAGUCCACGCCGUAAACGUUGAGUACUAAGUGUCGGCAAUUUGUCGGUGCUGCAGCUAACGCAUUAAGUACUCCGCCUGAGUAGUAUGCUCGCAAGAGUGAAACUCAAAGGAAUUGACGGGGACCCGCACAAGUGGUGGAGCAUGUGGUUUAAUUCGAAGCAACGCGAAGAACCUUACCAGGGCUUGACAUCCAGUGCAAAACUACAGAGAUGUAGUGGAGGCCAACAUUGAGACAGGUGGUGCAUGGUUGUCGUCAGCUCGUGCCGUGAGGUGUUGGGUUAAGUCCCGCAACGAGCGCAACCCCUAUCGUUAGUUACUAACAUUAAGUUGAGCACUUUAACGAGACUGCUAGUGUAAGCUAGAGGAAGGUGGGGAUGACGUCAAAUCAUCAUGCCCCUUAUGUCCUGGGCUACACACGUGCUACAAUGGCUGAUACAAAGAGUCGCAAUCCUGUGAGGGGGAGCUAAUCUCAAAAAGUCAGUCUCAGUUCGGAUUGAAGUCUGCAACUCGACUUCAUGAAGCCGGAAUCACUAGUAAUCGCGAAUCAGCAACGUCGCGGUGAAUACGUUCUCGGGUCUUGUACACACCGCCCGUCACACCAUGAGAGUUGGUAAUACCAGAAGCACGUAUCUUAACCGUAAGGAGAGAGCGUACCAAGGUAGGA